This 1372-nucleotide ribosomal RNA is filed under the name uncultured bacterium. RNAcentral's name for it is "bacterial SSU rRNA". It matches the Rfam family "Bacterial small subunit ribosomal RNA", at positions 28 to 1381 of the family's 1533-position model. The record is from RNAcentral.
GAUGAACGCUGGCGGCGUGCCUAAUACAUGCAAGUCGAGCGAACGGACGAGAAGCUUGCUUCUCUGAUGUUAGCGGCGGACGGGUGAGUAACACGUGGAUAACCUACCUAUAAGACUGGGAUAACUUCGGGAAACCGGAGCUAAUACCGGAUAAUAUUUUGAACCGCAUGGUUCAAAAGUGAAAGACGGUCUUGCUGUCACUUAUAGAUGGAUCCGCGCUGCAUUAGCUAGUUGGUAAGGUAACGGCUUACCAAGGCAACGAUGCAUAGCCGACCUGAGAGGGUGAUCGGCCACACUGGAACUGAGACACGGUCCAGACUCCUACGGGAGGCAGCAGUAGGGAAUCUUCCGCAAUGGGCGAAAGCCUGACGGAGCAACGCCGCGUGAGUGAUGAAGGUCUUCGGAUCGUAAAACUCUGUUAUUAGGGAAGAACAUAUGUGUAAGUAACUGUGCACAUCUUGACGGUACCUAAUCAGAAAGCCACGGCUAACUACGUGCCAGCAGCCGCGGUAAUACGUAGGUGGCAAGCGUUAUCCGGAAUUAUUGGGCGUAAAGCGCGCGUAGGCGGUUUUUUAAGUCUGAUGUGAAAGCCCACGGCUCAACCGUGGAGGGUCAUUGGAAACUGGGAAACUUGAGUGCAGAAGAGGAAGGUGGAAUUCCAUGUGUAGCGGUGAAAUGCGCAGAGAUAUGGAGGAACACCAGUGGCGAAGGCGACUUUCUGGUCUGUAACUGACGCUGAUGUGCGAAAGCGUGGGGAUCAAACAGGAUUAGAUACCCUGGUAGUCCACGCCGUAAACGAUGAGUGCUAAGUGUUAGGGGGUUUCCGCCCCUUAGUGCUGCAGCUAACGCAUUAAGCACUCCGCCUGGGGAGUACGACCGCAAGGUUGAAACUCAAAGGAAUUGACGGGGACCCGCACAAGCGGUGGAGCAUGUGGUUUAAUUCGAAGCAACGCGAAGAACCUUACCAAAUCUUGACAUCCUUUGACAACUCUAGAGAUAGAGCCUUCCCCUUCGGGGGACAAAGUGACAGGUGGUGCAUGGUUGUCGUCAGCUCGUGUCGUGAGAUGUUGGGUUAAGUCCCGCAACGAGCGCAACCCUUAAGCUUAGUUGCCAUCAUUAAGUUGGGCACUCUAAGUUGACUGCCGGUGACAAACCGGAGGAAGGUGGGGAUGACGUCAAAUCAUCAUGCCCCUUAUGAUUUGGGCUACACACGUGCUACAAUGGACAAUACAAAGGGCAGCGAAACCGCGAGGUCAAGCAAAUCCCAUAAAGUUGUUCUCAGUUCGGAUUGUAGUCUGCAACUCGACUACAUGAAGCUGGAAUCGCUAGUAAUCGUAGAUCAGCAUGCUACGGUGAAUACGUUCCCGGGUCU